This 426-nucleotide ribosomal RNA is filed under the name Anaplasma capra. RNAcentral describes it as "bacterial SSU rRNA". It matches the Rfam family "Bacterial small subunit ribosomal RNA", at positions 839 to 1261 of the family's 1533-position model. Lineage: Bacteria; Pseudomonadati; Pseudomonadota; Alphaproteobacteria; Rickettsiales; Anaplasmataceae. The record is from RNAcentral.
CUCUGUGUUGUAGCUAACGCGUUAAGCACUCCGCCUGGGGACUACGGUCGCAAGACUAAAACUCAAAGGAAUUGACGGGGACCCGCACAAGCGGUGGAGCAUGUGGUUUAAUUCGAUGCAACGCGAAAAACCUUACCACUUCUUGACAUGGAGGUUAGAUCUUUCUUAACAGAAAGGCGCAGUUCGGCUGGACCUCACACAGGUGCUGCAUGGCUGUCGUCAGCUCGUGUCGUGAGAUGUUGGGUUAAGUCCCGCAACGAGCGUAACCCUCAUCCUUAGUUACCAGCGGGUAAUGCCGGGCACUUUAAGGAAACUGCCGGUGAUAAACCGGAGGAAGGUGGGGAUGAUGUCAAGUCAGCACGGCCCUUAUGGGGUGGGCUACACACGUGCUACAAUGGCGACCACAAUAGGUUGCAACGCCGCAAG